This 467-nucleotide ribosomal RNA is filed under the name uncultured bacterium. Its description in RNAcentral is "bacterial SSU rRNA". It matches the Rfam family "Bacterial small subunit ribosomal RNA", at positions 329 to 793 of the family's 1533-position model. The record is from RNAcentral.
UGCCAGACUCCUACGGGAGGCAGCAGUGAGGAAUAUUGGUCAAUGGGCGGGAGCCUGAACCAGCCAAGUCGCGUGAGGGAAGACGGUCCUACGGAUUGUAAACCUCUUUUGCCGGGGAGCAACGGGGUCCUUGCGAGGGCCCAAUGAGAGUACCCGGAGAAAAAGCAUCGGCUAACUCCGUGCCAGCAGCCGCGGUAAUACGGAGGAUGCGAGCGUUAUCCGGAUUUAUUGGGUUUAAAGGGUGCGUAGGCGGGCUGUUAAGUCAGCGGUCAAAUGUCGGGGCUCAACCCCGGCCUGCCGUUGAAACUGGGGAUCUAGAGUGUGCGAGAGGUAUGCGGAAUGCGUGGUGUAGCGGUGAAAUGCAUAGAUAUCACGCAGAACCCCGAUUGCGAAGGCAGCAUACCGGUGCACAACUGACGCUCAGGCACGAAAGCGUGGGUAUCGAACAGGAUUAGAUACCCGGGUAU